UCAUCAUGGCAAACAUGUGGCCAUCGCGCGGCUGCCCCGCUUGUCUCGUCUAGGAUCUGCGCCGAAUUGGAGCAUCGUCUGUGCUUGCAUUGUUGAAUGAACAAUGCAAGCGUAUUGCACUGCCCGUUGGUGAUAGUGUGAGGCAGCAAGUCAUCUGGCUGCUUGUAGUGGCCACCACUGCAGUGUGUGCAGUGGCAUCGUGAAAUGUGAGGCAGCGAGUCAUCUGCCCCAGUUUGGUUGCUGCAUGUGGUGGUGCGUGUAGUGAUGUUGUGAGUCGCCAUCUCUGAGAGUGAGCAAGCGUGCUGCACUUGCCCGUUGGUGGAUUUGUGAGGCAGCAAGUCAUCUGCCCCAGGUUAGUUGCUGCGUGGAGUGGUGCGUGCGGUGAGCAUCGUCGCCGUCUGUGUGAGUGAGCUGGGCACUGUACCACAAGUGCUUCGUGGGACAGUGUAGAUGCAUCAGUUAUGUUUGUGAGUGAAUCGCGGAAACAAUUGCCGAUGGCCUUUUUGUUGUCGAGCGAGAAGUGUGUUGCUCCAUCUGUAGCCAAAAUGUAACAGGACAAUCGGAGAUGACUGGAGAAAUGCUUCUUUGGAUGGCUGGAGUAUUGGGUGCUAAUAACCGCGCAUACGAGAGUGGCAGUGCCACAUUUUCUGUGCGAUUAUGGAUUGAUUGCAGCAUACGUCUUGGAUUCUGACACUUUUAAGGUAAUUGGAUUGGCUGUAGUUGUAGUAUUGAUUAUCAUCUUAAUGUGGUUUUCUUUUCUUUUCAUGCAUGGAUUCUUUUGUUUCAUUUUGUUGCUGAGCGUCGCUGGCAUUCCAGAAUGCGAUUUUAAAAGAGUCGCCAUUCUGGUUGCCAGUACGUUUUAAUGGUAAUACUGUCCCUUCAGCACGUAGACUGAAGGUUUAUUUUUAUUUUUCCUUUUUAUAUUACAAUUUUUCUGCAACUUCUAGGAAUUAUUUGAAUAUUGAAGAUUGGCGGGCAAACUUAACAGUGAGCAAUGUUAAAAUGUAGUGGCAACGCUUAUUAUAAAAUACUGGGGUUAACAUAAAUAUUGAGUUACCAAUUCUGGUUGCAUACAUACAAUACAUUUGGAAGAGAAAUGACAAUUACGUGGUGACAAUAUUUGAGUGGCAACGAUAGAAUAUACUAGAUUGAACAUGGAAUUAUUUAGUAACAAUUUCUGGUAACACUACGUUUGGAAAAGGUAAACAAACAACAC
Molecule: long non-coding RNA, 1216 nt
Organism: Drosophila nasuta
Lineage: Eukaryota; Metazoa; Arthropoda; Insecta; Diptera; Drosophilidae
Exons: 6
Source: RefSeq, a predicted model, not a curated record